This 272-nucleotide long non-coding RNA is filed under the name Trifolium pratense (red clover). Its description in RNAcentral is "long non-coding RNA (TPRA_LNC001915)". The record is from RNAcentral. Lineage: Eukaryota; Viridiplantae; Streptophyta; Magnoliopsida; Fabales; Fabaceae.
GACCAAAUCAGGGCCGAAGGCAACAAAAAAUACAAAAAACACAAUAGAAACAAAAAAAAGGAAAAAAAGCGGAGAAAGGGAAACCCGAGAAAAAAAACAGGGGAAAUAGACAGAAAAAAGAAAAAAGAUAACAUUUAGCGGAGUUGAACGCAGCUUAACCAGCUCAUUAUUUUGAAAAUAUACAACACAAUCAAAUGCAUAAGGAUUUAGUAUAUCUAUUUGAAUUCUAUUCCUUAAUUUCUUAUAUGUGGAUGGUUAAUUCCUUAUCCUUA